AGGAUGAACGCUGGCGGCGUGCCUAACACAUGCAAGUCGAACGUCCUGUCUCGCAAGAGGCAGGGAGUGGCGGACGGGUGAGUACCACGUGGGUCAUCUACCGUGAGGUGAGGAAUACCGGCGAGAAAUCGCCGACAAGACCGCAUAGCCUCGGUGCAAGUCGAGGAAAGCUCUCUCGAGAGAGGGAGCGCCACACGAGGAGCCUGCGCCCGAUUAGCUAGCUGGUGGAGUAAUGGUUCACCAGGGCGACGAUCGGUAGCUGGUCUGAGAGGACGAUCAGCCACACUGGGAUUGAGAACGGCCCAGACUCCUACGGGGGGCAGCAGUGAGGAAUUUUCGGCAAUGGGGGAAACCCUGACCGAGCAACGCCGCGUGCAGGAAGACGGCCUCGGUUGUAAACUGCUUUCUUUGGACGAGCAAGGACGGUACCAGAGGAAUCAGCCCGGCUCACUACGUGCCAGCAGCCGCGGU
Molecule: ribosomal RNA, 471 nt
Filed under: uncultured bacterium
Lineage: Bacteria
Description: SSU rRNA
Rfam family: Bacterial small subunit ribosomal RNA
Source: RNAcentral